UUUCUUUUCUUCCACAUGGAUACUUAUCAUCAAAUGCUGAUUAUUUUUUGGGCUGGGGCCGCAGAUCGAGAAUUCUAACACCCAUCAAUUUCAGUCUUCGGGAAAUGACUUCUAAUAUAUUGAUCUUUGUAAUAUGACUACUAAUUUAAUUAGGGAUUAUAGCCUGGAAUGUAGUGAAUUAUGACCACUUAUAUUAUAUGUAAUGAUCUUCUUUAUCUAUUUAUUUUAUAUAUGAUUGUUAUAUGAUUGAGUAGAUGCCAGAAGUUGGAAUUGCCCAUACUCAUUUUUGUCCCUUUACCGUUGGAAUGCUGGAAGUAGGAAUUAAGCUGUUAUGUUUUAGCAUAGAGUAUAGUGCGUAUGAAAUUGACGCUAAUUGCAUGAUAGUAUUUAAAUCUCACUAUUACGUUGAAUAGAUAUUGAAUAUGUAGGUUUUUGGUAUCCUCAUUGUGUAGAUUGCAUAAGAUGUUUUGCUUGAUAGGAUGGAUGCUGUUUCAUUCAUUUGUCAAAUAUGUUUUUAUCCUAGAUUAUCAGUGAAUGGUGUUGUUGAAGUUGAUGGAGAUAAGGAUGAAGAUGCAAUGGAUCAGAAAAAGGGUGUGCCUAGUGUUCGGUUGACUGCGAUGAAAAUUGAAAACCAACAAAAUUUUGGCAGAACUGAUUACAGAACGAAAUUCUAUUGAUGAUUUUAGGGGUUCUCAAGAUUGAGGACAAAUAUUAAAUGGUUACCCGGAAAAUGUUUGACAGGAUGAUCCUCAAAUUAAGCCUUAGAGGCUGAAAAACUUCAAACCCUGUUCAAACAGGAUUUUUAUAUUUGUUGAAGUGUUCAUACGUGAAAACAUUAUCCCCCAUGUUAUAUUUGGUUCAUGUUGAAGGUAUUAAUGAUAAGGAUGAUGAUCAUAUUGAAGACGAUGAAGAUGACGAGGAUGAGGAUGGGGAUAAGGAAGAUGGUGAAGGAGAAGCAGAGAGCAAGCCUAAAAGAAGAUCUUAUUUUACAAGUUGUCACUGUGAACUGCUAAAGGGUGGCAACGCAGUGUUGUUGACCUGGGAGAACGACUACCCAGGUGCCAGAAAAAGUAGCUUUCAAUUUGGUUCAUAUUGUACGGGCCUAUUGUGAUGGGAAUUGAUUUUUGUGUCUAGUCAUCUUAGGUUACAUAUUAGAAUAUCUCAAAGGCACAACUGAAAAGUAUAUGUUUUAGGACUGCCCUUUAUUUUUGUCGAUAUCACUUGCCAUCAUUAGACUGUAAACAGUGGCAGUUUUUGGUGCCGUUACUAGUGUGGCUUUAGAUACUGCUAAGAUGAGCUUUUCCAUAUUGGAUCUAUGUCCUGACCAUGUUACAACUCUAAAUUUACCAAAAUCAAGUUCAAUUUAACUUGAAAUCCA
This is an RNA transcript of Erigeron canadensis, 1378 nucleotides long. It is a transcript of the gene named pheromone-processing carboxypeptidase KEX1-like, with no coding region annotated. The record is from RefSeq and is a predicted model, not a curated record. The transcript is spliced from 7 exons. Lineage: Eukaryota; Viridiplantae; Streptophyta; Magnoliopsida; Asterales; Asteraceae.